Molecule: long non-coding RNA, 796 nt
Filed under: Salvator merianae (Argentine black and white tegu)
Lineage: Eukaryota; Metazoa; Chordata; Lepidosauria; Squamata; Teiidae
Description: lncRNA (ENSSMRG00000019265.1)
Source: RNAcentral
UUUAAUAGCUGUGCAAAAAAAGGAAUUUCAGCAUACCUAGUCCACAUUAAAAGCUGUACGUGCUGAAAAGCCCUGUAAAAUACCUUGUAAAGCCAUUUAAAGCAUCUGUUAUGGUAAACAUGGCAAUUAGCUUAAUUAUUUAACAUCUUGCCAGGGUAAUCUUUGCUUGGAUACACUGGGAUUAGCGGUGGGGGUAGAAAGAAAAGGAACCCCCGAUAGGGAGUUCCACACUUGCUCUUUCUACUCACUAAUGGGGCAGUUAGAAGUAUAUCAUUAGAACAAACAGUUACAGUUUUGUUUGUUUGAAGUUCGUCAUCCAUUCUCCAAGGUGCUCUAGCAGACACGUUUUUGGCCACUCCAUUGUGCUUCGAUGUCCUGNAACAAUAAAGAAAAAAAAGAAAGCUUUUUCUUUGCUACAAUAUCUGAACUGUAAAAGACUGAGUGGCCACUAGAUGGCAGCAAAUACUUAGUGGUCUACCUUUUCCGUUGCAGAUUCUUCACAAUGCAGAAUUGGGGCAAGAUUCUAUGAGAAACUUGGGAACCUGAGAAGUCUUUGAUUUAAGGCCGCAAAGUGGGAUCAGAGCAAAGCCUCACUCUCUUAGGCUUCUGACAUAACUCAGAAUGGAAAGAGACUUUCAGAGACGGGACACCACCAUGAUAAGGUCUUGGUUCCACUGCAGCCAGAUAGUGGAAAAACUGGAGGAUUGUGACUGGUGAAGGAGUCUUCUAAUGGUGUGUAGCAGGCUCCCCCUUGUGGAAAUCAAUUGGAAUGAAGUUUUCUUGAUUCGAAACAUGU